UUAGUAGUCAUACGCUCGUCUCAAAGAUUAAGCCAUGCAUGUGUAAGUGUAAAUAUACUAGUUUGGAACUGCGAAUGGCUCAUUAUAUCAGUUAUAGUUUAUUUGGUGAAGUGUACUACUUGGAUAACCGUAGUAAUUCUAGGGCUAAUACAUGAGAAAGUCCUCUGGUGAGGUGUGUUUAUUAGAAUGAAAACCAUAUGCUUCGGCAUGAUAGUGAGUAAUAGUAACCUAUCGUAUCGCAUGCUUAAUGUAGCGAUGAGUCUUUCAAGUUUCUGCCCUAUCAGCUUUCGAUGGUAGUAUAUGGGCCUACCAUGGCAGUAACGGGUAACGAAGAA
This 335-nucleotide ribosomal RNA is filed under the name Blastocystis sp. subtype 1. RNAcentral's name for it is "SSU rRNA". It matches the Rfam family "Eukaryotic small subunit ribosomal RNA", at positions 17 to 369 of the family's 1831-position model. The record is from RNAcentral. Lineage: Eukaryota; Bigyra; Opalinata; Blastocystidae.